This 572-nucleotide ribosomal RNA is filed under the name Bacillus pumilus. Its description in RNAcentral is "bacterial SSU rRNA". It matches the Rfam family "Bacterial small subunit ribosomal RNA", at positions 670 to 1242 of the family's 1533-position model. The record is from RNAcentral. Lineage: Bacteria; Bacillati; Bacillota; Bacilli; Caryophanales; Bacillaceae. RNAcentral also lists the same sequence under 1 other name.
CACGUGUAGCGGUGAAAUGCGUAGAGAUGUGGAGGAACACCAGUGGCGAAGGCGACUCUCUGGUCUGUAACUGACGCUGAGGAGCGAAAGCGUGGGGAGCGAACAGGAUUAGAUACCCUGGUAGUCCACGCCGUAAACGAUGAGUGCUAAGUGUUAGGGGGUUUCCGCCCCUUAGUGCUGCAGCUAACGCAUUAAGCACUCCGCCUGGGGAGUACGGUCGCAAGACUGAAACUCAAAGGAAUUGACGGGGGCCCGCACAAGCGGUGGAGCAUGUGGUUUAAUUCGAAGCAACGCGAAGAACCUUACCAGGUCUUGACAUCCUCUGACAAUCCUAGAGAUAGGACGUCCCCUUCGGGGGCAGAGUGACAGGUGGUGCAUGGUUGUCGUCAGCUCGUGUCGUGAGAUGUUGGGUUAAGUCCCGCAACGAGCGCAACCCUUGAUCUUAGUUGCCAGCAUUCAGUUGGGCACUCUAAGGUGACUGCCGGUGACAAACCGGAGGAAGGUGGGGAUGACGUCAAAUCAUCAUGCCCCUUAUGACCUGGGCUACACACGUGCUACAAUGGACAGAACAA